RNAcentral lists this ribosomal RNA (497 nucleotides) under uncultured bacterium. Its description in RNAcentral is "partial 16S ribosomal RNA". It matches the Rfam family "Bacterial small subunit ribosomal RNA", at positions 28 to 507 of the family's 1533-position model. The record is from RNAcentral.
GAUGAACGCUGGCGGCGUGCCUAAUACAUGCAAGUCGAGCGAACAGACGAGGAGCUUGCUCCUCUGACGUUAGCGGCGGACGGGUGAGUAACACGUGGAUAACCUACCUAUAAGACUGGGAUAACUUCGGGAAACCGGAGCUAAUACCGGAUAAUAUAUUGAACCGCAUGGUUCAAUAGUGAAAGACGGUUUUGCUGUCACUAAUAGAUGGAUCCGCGCCGCAUUAGCUAGUUGGUAAGGUAACGGCUUACCAAGGCAACGAUGCGUAGCCGACCUGAGAGGGUGAUCGGCCACACUGGAACUGAGACACGGUCCAGACUCCUACGGGAGGCAGCAGUAGGGAAUCUUCCGCAAUGGGCGAAAGCUUGACGGAGCAACGCCGCGUGAGUGAUGAAGGUCUUCGGAUCGUAAAACUCUGUUAUUAGGGAAGAACAAAUGUGUAAGUAACUAUGCACGUCUUGACGGUACCUAAUCAGAAAGCCACGGCUAACUACGUG